This 408-nucleotide ribosomal RNA is filed under the name uncultured bacterium. RNAcentral describes it as "partial 16S ribosomal RNA". It matches the Rfam family "Bacterial small subunit ribosomal RNA", at positions 28 to 526 of the family's 1533-position model. The record is from RNAcentral.
GACGAACGCUGGCGGCGUGCUUAACACAUGCAAGUCGAACGAAGCGGCGAACGGGUGAGUAACGCGUAAUCAACCUGCUCUUCAGAGGGGGACCACAGUUGGAAACGACUGCUAAUACCGCAUACUGAAUGACGGGAUUGCGUCUGAUUCGCUAGUUGGAGGGGUAACGGCCCACCAAGGCGAUGAUCAGUAGCAGGUCUGAGAGGAUGAACGGGCAAAUUGGGACUGAGACAAGGCCCAGACUGCUACGGGAGGGAGCAGUGGGGGAUCUUCCGAAAUGGACGAAAGUCUGACGGAGCAACGCCGCGUGAGUGAUGACGGCCUUCGGGUUGUAAAGCUCUGUUAAGCGGGACGCGGUACCGGAAUAGAAAGCCACGGCUAACUACGUGCCAGCAGCCGCGGUAAUAC